RNAcentral lists this unclassified non-coding RNA (240 nucleotides) under soil metagenome. RNAcentral describes it as "partial contains 5.8S ribosomal RNA, internal transcribed spacer 2, and large subunit ribosomal RNA". The record is from RNAcentral.
AACCUUAUGGACCUGCGGGCGUAUACCUGCGGAGGGAUCAUUACCGAGUUAGGGUAGUCACUCACUGCCCGACCUCCCAACCCUGUGUCUACCACACUUUGUUGCUUCGGCGGACCGGUUGACCAACUGGUCGUGACCGCCGGGGGCUGGUUCUGUCCCCCCUGGAGAGCGUCCGCCGAUGGCCACACCACAAAAACUCUUGUACCGAAACGUGUCGUCUGAAUUAUAUUUGAGAAAUCA